AAACGACUCUCGGCAACGGAUAUCUCGGCUCACGCAUCGAUGAAGAACGUAGCAAAAUGCGAUACUUGGUGUGAAUUGCAGAAUCUCGUGAACCAUCGAGUUUUUGAACGCAAGUUGCGCCCUAAGCCAUCCGGUUGAGGGCACGCCUGCCUGGGCGUCACG
Molecule: ribosomal RNA, 162 nt
Filed under: Taraxacum stenocephalum
Lineage: Eukaryota; Viridiplantae; Streptophyta; Magnoliopsida; Asterales; Asteraceae
Description: 5.8S ribosomal RNA
Rfam family: 5.8S ribosomal RNA
About the family: 5.8S ribosomal RNA (5.8S rRNA) is a component of the large subunit of the eukaryotic ribosome. It is transcribed by RNA polymerase I as part of the 45S precursor that also contains 18S and 28S rRNA. Functionally, it is thought that 5.8S rRNA may be involved in ribosome translocation.
Source: RNAcentral